UUCCGGUUGAUCCUGCCGGACCCGACUGCUAUCAGAGUAGGACUAAGCCAUGCGAGUCGACGUAGCAAUGCGUGGCGAACGGCUCAGUAACACGUAGUCAACAUGCCCAGGGGACGUGGAUAACCUCGGGAAACUGAGAAUAAACCGCGAUAGGUCAUGAUUUCUGGAAUGGAUCAUGGCUCAAAUCUACAUGGCCCCUGGAUUGGACUGCGGCCGAUCAGGCAGUGGUGAGGUAAAGGCCCACCAAACCUAUAACCGGUACGGGCUCUGAGAGGAGAAGCCCGGAGAUGGACACUGAGAGAAGGGUCCAGGUCCUACGGGGCGCAGCAGGCGCGAAACCUUCGCAAUGCGCGAAAGCGUGACGAGGUUAAUCCGAGUGACUCCCGCUGAGGGGGUCUUUUGUCAGCGGUAAAUAGGCAGGCGAAUAAGGGGAGGGCAAGCCUGGUGUCAGCCGCCGCGGUAAUACCAGCUCCUCGAGUGGUCGGGGCGAUUAUUGGGCCUAAAGCAUCCGUAGCCGGUUCCGUAGGUCCUCUGUUAAAUCCAACCGCUUAACGGUUGACCUGCAGAGGAUACCGCGGGACUAGGAGGCGGGAGAGGCGGACGGUACUCCGCGUGUAGGGGUAAAAUCCUUUGAUCCGCGGAAGACCACCAGUUGCGAAGGCGGUCCGCCAGAACGCGCUCGACGGUGAGGGAUGAAAGCUGGGGGAGCGAACCGGAUUAGAUACCCGGGUAGUCCCAG
This 739-nucleotide ribosomal RNA is filed under the name uncultured archaeon. Its description in RNAcentral is "bacterial SSU rRNA". It matches the Rfam family "Archaeal small subunit ribosomal RNA", at positions 1 to 750 of the family's 1478-position model. The record is from RNAcentral.